Molecule: ribosomal RNA, 468 nt
Filed under: uncultured bacterium
Lineage: Bacteria
Description: partial 16S ribosomal RNA
Rfam family: Bacterial small subunit ribosomal RNA
Source: RNAcentral
GACGAACGCUGGCGGCGUGCUUAACACAUGCAAGUCGAACGGCAAGGCCCUGCUUUUGUGGGGUGCUCGAGUGGCGAACGGGUGAGUAACACGUGAGUAACCUGCCCUUGACUUUGGGAUAACUUCAGGAAACUGGGGCUAAUAUCGGAUAGGAGCUCCUGCUGCAUGGUGGGGGUUGGAUAGUUUCGGCGGUUGGGGCUGGACUCGCGGCUUAUCAGCUUGUUGGUGGGGUAGUGGCUUACCAAGGCUUUGACGGGUAGCCGGCCUGGGAGGGUGACCGGCCACAUGGGGACUGAGAUACGGCCCAGACGCCAACGGGAGGCAGCGGGGGGGAGUAUUGCACAAUGAGCGGGAGCCUGAUACGACGACGCCGCGGGCGGAAUGACGGCCUGUGGGGUGUGAACCGCUGUCGCCUGAGACGAAGCUGGAGUGACGGUAAUGGAUAAAGAAGCACCGGCUAACUACGUG